GUCACAAAGGACUUUUUACUAACUUUUGAACCCCUUGUCUGAUUUGUGCCAUUUUUGAAUAUGUUGUUCCCCUGAAUGGAUUGAUUGUGAAUAUGUAAUUUUAUGUGAAUGUGAUGUAUGGUUUUGGAGUUAUGAAAGUUGGGUAGAAAGUAUGUUUUAACUGUAUGUAUAAUUGAGUUUCCUCUCAGGAUAAGGGGAGGGAAUAUGUGGGAUGUAACUGUGAUGUGAUUGGUUGUUUUGUAACGCCCUGUGGGCUGUACUAUGUUUGUG
This is a non-coding RNA of Pelobates cultripes (western spadefoot toad), 270 nucleotides long. Lineage: Eukaryota; Metazoa; Chordata; Amphibia; Anura; Pelobatidae. The record is from the annotation of a GenBank genome assembly.